CGCAAUUGGGGUCCCGCAGAAGAUGUGGUAUGAUUGCCGAUGAGACAAUUAACUCUCCACAAGAGACCAACAUAACACAGAAAUUAACAACUAUAUAGGUCACCGUACGGCCUUCAACAAUGAGUAAAGCCCAUACCGCAUAGUCAGCUAUAAAAGGCCCCGCAAAGACAAUGUAAAACAAACGGGAAAACUAAGAGCCGUAUUUAUUUUAAAAUGAAUGAAAAACAAAUAUGUAACACAUCAACAAAAGACAACCACUGAAUUACGGGCUCCUAACUUGGGACAGGCACAUACAUAAAUAAUGUGGCGCGGGUUAAAAUGUUAGCGGGAUCCCAACUAUAAAUAUAUACAUGUAGUCUACAGCACUAGACAAAAUAUCUGUUUCAUUCCGAUGUAACUCGAUUCAAAGUAAAAGUGUGUUAAAAAAAAAUUAGAAAUCGGGAGAUAUGCCAUUCAGUAUCGUGUUAUCUUGAUAUUAGUACACAGCUGUGGAAUACAAAGAAAAAUUGACCACUUGCAGGGGAACACGAAACUGCAUUGAAAAUGAAAAAAAUAAAGAAUAGAAAAGAAAAAGAUAGGCUAACAAUUUAAGAAUAAAGAAUAGUGGGCUUCUAGAAUAUAAAGAAUAGAG
This 631-nucleotide long non-coding RNA is filed under the name Mytilus galloprovincialis (Mediterranean mussel). The record is from RNAcentral. Lineage: Eukaryota; Metazoa; Mollusca; Bivalvia; Mytilida; Mytilidae.